UGCGCGUGCGCGGGCGCGCGGGCGACGGGGCUCGCUCUGAGGAAGCGGCCCGCUGAGUGAAAGAGCCGUCGCCACCGUGUCUUUGUUCUUUCGCUGAACACACGGCUCCUCUCAGGAAGGCGAACCUCCCUUUCAACCCCAUAAAUGGGAUUCAUACAGCAUUCAACAAGUAUUUAUGGAGUGUUUACUCUGCCAAUGACGCUGUUCUAGGUGCUAGGAAUACAAUAUGAGCAAAACAGAAACCCCCACCAUAAGGUGAAGAGAAGUGAAAGACAAAAUGAUUAUACAGUGCAUGAGAUUCCAAAAGAAAUGAAAGUUGCCCACAGCUCAUUUCCCAAGAGGAACCACUUUUACCAUUUUGAUGUCUUUGCUUUCAGUCUUGAAAAGCGACAUUGCAAUGUAAUUUGAAAACACAUUUUCUUACUAUAAAAGGAAGAAACCUGCCAAACAUUCUUGAUACAUUUUGCUGUGUUUUUCAACAUACGUCAGCAAAAUGCUAGGACCUGAGGAAACAGGACUCAUCCGGGUGGGGAGUAUAAAGUGACAGUGUCAUUUGUAAAGGUGGGUCAGCAGUAUUUGUCAUUAUGAGCACGUUCAUGUAUUUACUGUCUGACCCACUGAUUCCAUUUCAGGGAAUGUUGCCUGCAAAAAUUUUCAUACAUGCACCUAAGGAUGAGGAUAGUCACUGCAACAGCUUCAUGUCCGUCUUUCAAGUUCUACUUAAAUGACCUAGGGUGCAACUAUGUUGUAAAUAUGUAUGUAUAUAUUGUAUAUAUUUA
Molecule: long non-coding RNA, 779 nt
Organism: Nycticebus coucang (slow loris)
Lineage: Eukaryota; Metazoa; Chordata; Mammalia; Primates; Lorisidae
Exons: 3
Source: RefSeq, a predicted model, not a curated record